This 175-nucleotide small RNA is filed under the name Vogesella sp. RNAcentral's name for it is "Manganese sequence". The stretch from base 17 to 171 matches the Rfam family "Manganese Mn2+ riboswitch aptamer (yybP-ykoY)". From Rfam's summary of the family: This RNA was originally discovered in E. coli during a large scale screen and was named SraF. The family was later found to exist upstream of related families of protein genes in many bacteria, including the the yybP and ykoK genes in B. subtilis. The record is from RNAcentral. Lineage: Bacteria; Pseudomonadati; Pseudomonadota; Betaproteobacteria; Neisseriales; Chromobacteriaceae.
CAUGCGCCGGUCCUGAGGGAGUAGCCGACCCGCGAGAAAGCGGGGGUCUGCGUCAACAUACUUGGCGGUUCCGCCAUGGCGCAGACGACACACUGUCUGGCAAGACUCAUGAUUCGUUGUGACCGGCGGGGGCUGCGUCAUGGCGGGUCAUGCGUCGCGUGCAGCCCCCUCGGAG